Molecule: long non-coding RNA, 1090 nt
Organism: Etheostoma spectabile (orangethroat darter)
Lineage: Eukaryota; Metazoa; Chordata; Actinopteri; Perciformes; Percidae
Exons: 3
Source: RefSeq, a predicted model, not a curated record
GACACACCCUCUCUGUCCAUGUGAGCGGAGGCUGAGACAAAAGGACCUACACCCUGUUGUUCAUAACAGCAUGCGAGCGUCAGGAAGGGUGAAGACGUGUGUUCACUACUCUCCCCUAAGAAAAAGUCUACACUACAAAAAGAAAAGACUCAAACGGACAGAGAGGCGACGCUAAAAGCCAAAAGAUCUGACCUGUCUAUCCUCAAGUCAUUAUACUCCACUUGCUCUUUGAAACGAAAAAAAGAACGAAAAUAAGAUAGGCUAAAAAAAAAAGCCAAGCAUCAUGGGAAGAGGUGGAAGUGAGAUAUGGGACGGAGCGUUGGAGGACACAGUGCAAACUCAGCCUAAGAAACAGGAGGAGGAGAAGACGACGCCGACGACUAAAAGCUCGGGCAAAAGCUGUCCCAAGUGCUGCUUGCAGACAAGGAAGUGUCUGAUGAGCGCAGAGUGCGGCAGGGCCCUUCAGAUCUCCAGCGUCGUCGCCAUGUGUGGAAUGUGCAUCCGCAUGUUCGUAUAACCCAGCCAUGGACUUCAGGAAGAGCUUUUUCCAGGCUGCGCUGAUUCUCAGCAAGCCCCAGCACACUUCAGGAGAUUCAUGCCAAAUGGGUUUCUACUCCUCUGAGAUGAAAUCCGGUUCUUUUAGCUCAAUUUCAUCAGCAGAAGAUCUCUUCAUUCUCUAGCCACAAGUUAUUAGUUUAACAAAAGCAUUGCCUGUAUGCAAAACAAACUAGAAAGACAAUCAUUAUGAAUGAAUGAAUGAAUGGAUGGAAGGAUGUCCCUUUGAUCUGCAUAUCUUUGUUAAAAGUUUUUUUUGGGAUGAUUUCUGAUUGAUCAAAAUGCUCCAGUAUUUACUCAAUGCAGAUGUUUACCUUUAUAUUUAUUGUUUUCAAUAAUAUUAAUAAUAUAUAUUAUGAUGGUAGUGCUGAUAUGUGAAUAAAUGUGUAUAUACAUAUAUAUAUUAUACAGUGUAACCCCAACAUUCUAUUUUAAAAUAUGAGUAAGAUGACCAGAUGGUGGGGUUGGGGGGGACGACUGUGACACAUCGGAACUAAUGGAAAACUUCUAAUAAAGCUUUCAUUAACAACAAGGA